RNAcentral lists this small nuclear RNA (106 nucleotides) under Rhodnius prolixus. The record is from RNAcentral. Lineage: Eukaryota; Metazoa; Arthropoda; Insecta; Hemiptera; Reduviidae.
GUACUCGUUUCAGCGAUACAUACAGUGAAAUUGGAACAAUACAGAGGAGCUUUGCAUCGCUCCUGCGAAGAGUGGCACAAAAAAUCGUGAAGCGGUACAGUUUUUU